GGGUUGUGAGGUUAAGCGACUAAGCGUACACGGUGGAUGCCCUGGCAGUCAGAGGCGAUGAAGGGCGUGCUAAUCUGCGAUAAGCGCCGGUAAGGUGAUAUGAACCGUUAUAACCGGCGAUACCCGAAUGGGGAAACCCAGUGUGAUUCGUCACACUAUCAUUAACUGAAUCCAUAGGUUAAUGAGGCGAACCGGGGGAACUGAAACAUCUAAGUACCCCGAGGAAAAGAAAUCAACCGAGAUUCCCCCAGUAGCGGCGAGCGAACGGGGAGGAGCCCAGAGCCUGAAUCAGCAUGUGUGUUAGUGGAAGCGUCUGGAAAGGCGCGCGAUACAGGGUGACAGCCCCGUACACAAAAGCGCAUGUGCUGUGAGCUCGAUGAGUAGGGCGGGACACGUGGUAUCCUGUCUGAAUAUGGGGGGACCAUCCUCCAAGGCUAAAUACUCCUGACUGACCGAUAGUGAACCAGUACCGUGAGGGAAAGGCGAAAAGAACCCCGGCGAGGGGAGUGAAAAAGAACCUGAAACCGUGUACGUACAAGCAGUGGGAGCCCCACCACUAAGCCAGUGGUGAACUCCACAUCCGCAUCCUUUGCUGAGGAUACGGUUAACGGAGCGAAAGCGACGUUCAACCGCAAAACAAGCAGAGGGGGCUUAGUGGUGGGGUGACUGCGUACCUUUUGUAUAAUGGGUCAGCGACUUAUAUUCUGUAGCAAGGUUAACCG
RNAcentral lists this ribosomal RNA (722 nucleotides) under Salmonella enterica. RNAcentral describes it as "partial 23S ribosomal RNA". It matches the Rfam family "Bacterial large subunit ribosomal RNA", at positions 1 to 652 of the family's 2925-position model. RNAcentral also lists the same sequence under 1 other name. The record is from RNAcentral. Lineage: Bacteria; Pseudomonadati; Pseudomonadota; Gammaproteobacteria; Enterobacterales; Enterobacteriaceae.